Molecule: unclassified non-coding RNA, 269 nt
Filed under: Glomeraceae sp.
Lineage: Eukaryota; Fungi; Glomeromycota; Glomeromycetes; Glomerales; Glomeraceae
Description: partial contains 5.8S ribosomal RNA and internal transcribed spacer 2
Rfam family: 5.8S ribosomal RNA (bases 1-71)
Source: RNAcentral
GUGAAUCAUCAAAUUUUUGAACGCAAAUUGCACUCUCUGGUAUUCCGGAGAGUAUGCCUGUUUGAGUGUCAUUUAAAUAAAAAUCGCUUUGGUUGCUGCUUUUAGUGGUGACUCAGCGGGUUUGGGUCGUCUAACCUUAGGUUAAGUGAACUACAAUUUUGCAUGAUUUUUUUCGAACGUGUUUACAUGAUUUUACGUACGUUUGCGAUAUGGAAUACUAGUUAUGGUCAUCUACAUGAUGCGCGCCUAUAAUUUUUCAGCAAAAUGAC